This is a non-coding RNA of Styela clava, 1974 nucleotides long. NCBI's taxonomy places the organism in Eukaryota, Metazoa, Chordata, Ascidiacea, Stolidobranchia, Styelidae. The record is from RefSeq and is a predicted model, not a curated record.
GUUUUUACCUCACUCUUGGGGGACGCGGCGGUUUCGCUUUUCAUUCGCGAGUUUGAGCUGUUGCUUGGUUGAGGGCCAAUGUUGCACCUGGAGUGUACUGGAUCAGGUGGAACUCGUAAUAUCUUUUUCGAAGGAAAUAAUACACAAAUUCAAGGCACAGCUUAUACAAUACAGAAACGGAUUUAGUCGCAAUUUAAAAGCAGGUGGCUUUCAUCGCAAGAAACAGAAGGGGUCAUAAUAAGUCUGCGACACCAACAUUUGAAAUGAGUCAAAAAUUGAAAUAAUAAAAAAGGUAACGGUAGAGAAUAUUAGUCAUUCGAAAAAAUUGUCCAACAAGGGGAGGGAGGGUAAAGAUUCCUGUGAAACAUCACAUAUAAUUUUAGAAUGAGAUAAAAAAAAGUCUGGGAAAUACAAUAAGACACAGUAGUUUUGAGAAGAAAAAAACGAUUUAGCAUAUCAAUUUCCUAAACUUCUGUAUAAUGGCAACUAUUAAAUAUUGUCACUUGCAACAUCAAAUCGAGCUAUAUUUUUUAUUUGCAGAAGAAUAAAUAAAUAAAAAAUUACAUAACUUUUAGGUACGAAUGCGAAAGCAGAAUUCAUACUCCAUGUACAUCCAACAUAUGAAAUUUGAAAGUGAGAGGAGAAAAUGAUGCAGUUUAAAUCAUCUGACUAUGAAAUAGGAAGAACAGUCUCGGUGAACUUAUUGCCACCAACUAAGAUAUGUCAGUCGGGCCAUCAAAAAUCCAGAGAACAGAAACAUAUUCAAGCCUUAAGUCUAAAGGUGAUUGCAUGAGUAAUGAAAAAAUUUAGAAUGAGGUGAUCGAGAUGGUGAUUAUACAAUCACAAAAAGAGCUGUGGUGCUAAGCAUUCUUGGUUGGGAAAGUUGAAUUGUGUUCUCAUGUUGUUGCAAUAUAUUUUGAACCUACUUAUGUUGGGAAUUCUAAAUUAAGCAAAAUAUUAUUGUGUACAAAUUUGAAUAAAGAAAUUGUUUCUUUUUUAAUGCUGUUGCAACCAAAGCCAGUGUAAUAAGACCAGAUCCCAAUUUAUCGUAAAUGUGAGACAUAACUUUCUUCGAAAAUUUAAGUCUACCUUAAAUUUCAAAUGCCAUUCACUUAUUAAUUUCUUGCAUAUCACCAUUAUUGCAAUUUAUACAAAUCAACUUAUGUAAAAUUUCAUUUUUAAUAAAAAUAAAAAAUAUCAUAAUUAUUGUUGAGUGUUCGAGGGGUGCGAGUUUGACAUCCUCUGGUCUACCGUGCUGAGAAUGCAUCCAAAUGAUAUCCAGGCUUCAGCCCCAAUCAUCUAUUAAACAAAUUCCACAGUCCCAACAACUUGGGGGAUCAUUCGUUUUCCUAAUUUUCAAUUGUAAUCUUCUUAUUAAAACCUGAUUGGUACCUAAUCAAGGGUGAAAUUUCUUUCUUGAUAGCUGCUUUCUCCCUCUAUAUAGUUACAUAACAUUCUUUUGCAGUGCAUUACAAUAUAUAAUACAAUUUUAUUUCGAUUACUUUUACUUUGCAAAGUACGUCAUUUCAUAGAUAGCUCUUAGGUAUGUAAUCCUUUUCCUCUGGAAAGUUUAGCUCCCAAAUAUCAGGCAAAUCCUGCUCGGUGUAUUCCAGUGCAAUGACUGAAUGAGAAAAUCCAGUCUGCCAGUACCAUCACUUUUGAAGUAGCUCCGUCUGAUUUGUGUGACUGUGUAACAGAGCAGCUCAAAUGCAUAACAGAUAUACAAGCUAGUCUGUAUUCAAUCUAUAAAUGAGAAAAAGACUGUUGAAAAAACGCACAGCGAUAUAUUUAAUUAAACAAGUCAAAGCAACGCACAAGUAUAAGGACAACUAAUCUCGCUUCCGUUUACGACUGGAAUUUGGAUGCGGCGGAACGAGGGAGUGUUUUUGAAAUUUAUGCGAAUUUCGGUGUUUUUUGGGUGGUAAUAGAAGACAUAUCAUCCCUUCCAUCUACCAAAGUAUUUUGAGUUAGAUC